Molecule: small nuclear RNA, 102 nt
Organism: Diceros bicornis minor
Lineage: Eukaryota; Metazoa; Chordata; Mammalia; Perissodactyla; Rhinocerotidae
Source: RefSeq, a predicted model, not a curated record
GUCUUUGACAGUACAUAUACUAAAAUUGGAAUGACACAGAAAAGAUUAAUAUGGCUACUGUGUGAGGAUGACAUGCAAAUUCAUGAAGCAUUCCAUAUUUUU